UUUCUUAUGAAUAAAUGUGUAAUUUUUGUUAGAAGGUAUAUAGGCUAUCUGGUAACAGCAUCUGAUGUGGAUUGUAAAAAUUGUUAUAAUUAAUCCAUAAGGAAUCACGAGAUGGGCCAUAUAUGGUUGAAAGCUUGUCGAGUCCAGUUUCUAACACAUUAAAAAGAUUUUAAUUCUGAGUUGAUAUCUUAAGAUAUGGUCAUUUUAGUGAAAGUAGCAUAGGUUACCAGAAUUAGUUACUUGAGUUAUUUCUUGUUUAACUUAGUUUUUUUGGUAUAAGUGGUCUCAAAUGGGUUGAUUAAUUACUAUCAUAUUGAAAUGAUCUUAAAUAGGCCAUUAAUUAUGUUGGGGGAAAAACUAGGUGGUGGAAUCAGAAGGAGAUAAGUAGAAUCUCACACAUUUUACUUAUUUUCGAAGCUAUGUGUAUAUGUAUGUUUCCAAAUGAGUAAAUAUUUUUAUUUAUUAUUUUUUAUAUAUGAAAAUAGGAUCAAGCAUAUGAUUAUUUUAUGUUUUUGUUAUGUAAAUGAUGGAUCAUGGUUAUGAAUGAAAUGAGAAAAUGAUUUAUGUUUAAAGAACGAUUUUAUGAUGACUACGUUUUUACAUUUCUAGGAAGUGAAAUCAUCGACACCAAAACUAAUUUUACAGCCCUGGCUAAUGGUUUAUAGUAGUUAGCAUAGACAUGAUCAUACGGCCCUGCUAACGAGUUAUAGUAGUUAGCGUAAGGCCUUGGCUAGUGAGUUAUAAUAGUUAGCAAUAAUCAUGAAGAUGAAAUUAUCGAUACGACCAAUGUCACGGGUUAUACCAGUGAUCGUAGCUAACGAUAAAUGAAUGAUAAUGAUGAUGAUUUACGAUGAUUUUUAAUGAUUGAUCCAUGAUUUGAUUUGAUUACGAUAUUUGAAUGAUAACAUAUUUUACAAUGAUUUAUAAAAUGAAAUAUUUUUAUAUUGAUUUAUGAUUUACGAAAUGUUUGACAUAAUGAUGAUUUUGGAAAUGUUUUGACAUUAUGAUUUUAUUAACGUUUUGAAUGAUCUAUAUGAUUUGUAUAAAAAAAAAUGCUUGAUUCGGUAAGGUGUGUGAACUUAUACUUGCUGAGCUAAGUUUACUUAUUCUCUUUUUACUUUUUUUUUUACAGAUGAAUAAAUGAUAAGUUUGCUUAGUUUUGUGAAAGCUAGAAGAUCAAAUAGGAAAGAUUACUUAGUCGUCGAAGAUAAUGUUUGCCAAUAAGAUCUUAUGAAAUGGUUUUGUAUUUUUUUAUAGAUUGUAUUUGGAUAUAUAGAGAUUUAUCAUUAGUUAGAUUAAAUAUAUGAAUUUUACUUGGUAGACUAUAGCAGUUUAUUGACGAAUUUUAGAAUGAUUAAGAAAAAAAGCUUUGUAUUACUUUAAGGUUUACUUCAAGGUAAUAUGGUUGUGUUAUAUCUUGGUUUCGGGGUGUGACAAAAAGUGGUAUCAGAGCUUAAGUUACAAUCUUUGGAGAAUUUUUUUUAAGAGUUAGAUUAUGAUUUGUAGAUUGUGAUGAUAUUUUCUUUAAAAGCUUAAGUUAUGUUUCUUGGAGAUUUUAUAAGAGUUCAAGUUAUGAUCUUUAAACUAUGUGAGAUGUUAAAAAGCUUAUAGUAUGAUUUUAAGGAUUUUCUAAUAACCACAAUUAUGAUCUUUGGAGAUUUCUAAGAAGUUAGAUUUUGAUAAUUGAAUUGAUGAUGAUUUUCUAAGAAUGUAGUGCGUGAUCCUUAUAUUGAAAGAGUUACUAUAUGAGCAUGAUUAUGAUCCAUAUACUAUGUGGAGAUUUUUAAAAAUUUAGAUGAUUUUUCAAAGACAUAACUUUGAUCAGUGACUAUAGUGGUGAGUAUAAGUAAAUGAUUCGAUGAAUUUUGGAGUAGUUAAAGUUUCAAUGAAUUAUUGGAGUAAUUAUUUUGGUUGAUAUUUACAUAUUGUUUUUAGAUCUUGUAGUUAAGAUAAAGUAUAAUUAUUUUGAUAUAGUGCGAUUUUAUAAGUUGAAGAGAUUUUCGAUGCGACUUAUAAUGAGACAUAUUUUAUGAGUUAAAGGAUUAUUCAAGAGAAUGAUUUGAUCAUUGGAGAUCCUAUGGGUUUGAGAAAAGACAUUUGACUUAAUGAGAUUUUGAAGUAUUUGAUAAGUGUAAAGUGAAUUCUUAAUCAUGGAUUAAAAGUGGUAUUUGAGUGUACAUUGUUGGAAUUAAAAGUAUAGAAUAUUAGAGUUUGAAUGAAAUGAUAUUUUGAAACUUUGAAGUAAUUAUUUGUAUGUUAUAAUGUUUGAGAAUUUGUUUUGAUGGAUUUAUUGUGAUAAUUGUGGUAAAUAGUUUAAUAUACGUAAAGAAAGAUAUUCACUUGAUUUGAUUAUACAUUUUUAUUGCGAAAGUAUUUAAGGUUUGAUCAUGCGAGUUGGACGUUUGUAUAGUUAAUUUAAAGUUUGAUCAUUAAAUUCCUAUUUAAAGUGUACUGAUUUUUUUUAAUGGCUAAAUGGAUUAAUUUGUAGUUAUAAUUUUUAAUUGAAGUAUACUAUUAGAUUCCUUUGAAUUUAAUAUUUAUGGAGAACAUUGUCUAUUGUGGUACGAGGUGGUGUACUUAGUAAGAAAUUAAAUUUGUGGAUAAAAAUUAAAAUUGUGGUUAUCUAGAUGAUUUAGUAAGGAAGUUGGUUUUGAAGGAGUAAUCGAUUUAUAGAAAAAUAUAUAUGUUUUGGCUAAAAAUGAUUGUUUGAAAUCUUACAAGGGCAAAAGAUUAUUUGAAAUCUUAUAAGUGAUGUUUUGUGUACUUGGUGAUGCUGAGCAUAUAUUUGAUUUUAGAGAAGUUUGAAAAAAAAAUUCUGAAAUAAUGUGAUGCAUUUGGUUAUUGUUUAUAACUAUACUUUUGGCAUGAAUUCAAGUAUUUAAAGUUCUUGUUGAUUCAAAUUCUAUAAGAGAAUUUUACUUAUGGAUUAUGAUGCAUAGGUUUUGGCUUUGACGUGGAGAUGAUAGCAAUAUAUUUGGUAAAAAGAAAAUUUAAGACAUUAUGAUGUUUGUGGGGAUUAUGAAGAAUCAAUUGUUAUAUGAUAAUUGGUCUAUUAAAUCAAAAAGAACAUUAUUCAAAAUUGGAGACAACUUUGAUAACUAGAGAUUUAGAUUUGAAUUUACAUGGUGCAAACUUAUGGAUAUGAUUUAUUGCAUCGAUUUUAUAUGUUUUAUAAUGGUUAAUUGAUAAAAAUUUUCAUAUUGUCAGCGGAGAAAAAAAGAAAAUUAAAAUAUUAUGUGAUAUAUUUUUUUUUGUGAUUAAAGGAUUUGUUGAUACUAUUAUUCAACUUUAAGGUUGUGUAUGGUUAUGAAUACCCAGCAUAAAGUGAAUAACAUGAAAGUUUGUGGACAUAUGUUUUUCUUGUUAUGAAAUAAUGUUAUGAAAGUUAAUUUGUUCAAAUUUUAUUAGAAGGAAAUAUCAGAGUGCGCAGUGGAAGCCUGAUUUGAUUUAAGUUCUAAAUUUUUUAUGCUAUCGUUAGUUGAGAAAGUGAUGAAUCUUUAAUAAAUAAGGAGAAAUGGAUUUUGGGUAAGAAUAUUUUGUGUUCCCUUCAUUUUUAAGACUUUAUCGUUGACUUACAUUCUUUUAAGAAGUGUUAUGUCAUAACUUGAAAAGAAAUAUUUUAUAAUGAUUGUCAUAAGACAAAUAUUCAAUGAUUCAUUUUGAGGUUUUGUGUGGAAGUAAAUCUAAGUCUUAGACUCAUUGGCAUAAGGACAAAAAAGAAAAACUUUUAUUUCUUGAAUUUAUGAAAAAAUUACUGAUACAUUUUGGUUGAUUAAAGAAUGGUUUAAAGUAAGCAAGAAUUAGGUUAAAAUUCAGAGAUAAGAUUUGUACCUUCAAGUGGUUAAUCAUUUGUACUCAAAUGUGUCAUCAUUAAAAAUGUUAUGAGGAUUAUAAGGUAAGGAAUGUUAAGUUUACAUAAUGCAAGGACAUUUGAAGUUCUUGGUAAAGUGAAAGAAAUUCAAUACAAAAAAAAUACUAUCACCUUAGAUGUUUAAUGUAUAUGAGGAAUCUAUGUCAAGAGAAUAUCUUGAUAGAAGCUAUAUGGUUGGAUAUAAGUAUUUAAAAAUUCAAGAUGAUAUAAGCUUUAACAUAUUAAAAAUAUUUUUUUUGAAUGUUUGAUUGGAAAGAACAAAUUUUGAGGCAAAAUGAUUACUUUUGUCAAAGUUUAAUGAGACAAUCACAUGGUAAGAGAAGUGAUUGCAAAAAUAAAACAAUAAGAUAUAGAUGAAAAUCAAGUUUCGAGGAUGAAAUUUUUUAUAAGGAGGGGAGAAUGUAAACUCUAGCCCAAAUGAUAAUUGGGCUAAACUAAUACCAAUGUCCAUCAAUUUAUUAAGAGAUUAAUUAGUAAAAAAAAAAAAUGGGCUGAAGUAUUAAAUGAAAGAAAACCUAGCUAUUGAGAAACAGAAAGAAAAUAGGAGUUUUUCUUUUUCAUUUUCCUUAAGAUUAGAGAAUAUGAAAAAUCAAGUUUGAGAUUUUAAAUCAAAGGCUACAAUCGAGUUAAUCUCCUAAUGGUGAGUAUAUACCCUCUUUUAUUUAAGAAAAAACUAUCAUGUUGAUUGCUAUUAAUUGGAAAUGAAGUUUUGAGAGAAAAAUCAAGAAAAUUGUGAAAUCUUUCAUUAAUCUUCAUGAUCUAUUUGGGUAAAUUACUGGACUUUGUUUAUUUCAUGUUCUUAAGCUUUAUUAAUGGUUAUUGAAUGGAGUUUAAAGGCUGAAAGUAGGGAUUUGAGUUUUUAAAGAUUGAAGAAGAAAUUCUAUUUUUAGAUGAGAUACUAUGAUCUACAAUAAUGAAUCAAAAAAGAAUUUUAUAUUAAUGGAUAGAUUAUUGCUAUGAUUAUUAUAUAUCGUUGGAAAACAUGUUAAAUCUACUUUUUAAUGAAAUAAAUGGAAGUCAAAUGUGAGUUUUCUGUGAAGAGUUGUCUAAUUUUUACUUAAGGAUAUGCAGGCCGUAAGGCAGCAGCAUCAGGGUUAAAUUACAAAAAUUGUCUUAAUUUUUAUAUAAGGAAUUACAGAUUAAGCCAUAUAUGUUUCGAAAAACAUAUUAAGUCUACUUUCCAACAGAACAAGCAGAAUUGAAUUUGGAGUUUCCUAUGAAUAAAUGUGUAAUUUUUGUUAAAAGGUAUAUAGGCUAUCUUGCAGCAGCAUCUGACGUAGAUUAUAAAAAUUGUUAUAGUUAAUCCACAAGGAAUCAUGAGAUUGGCCAUAUAUGGUUAGAAAGUUUGUCGAGUCAAUUUCUAAUUAAAAAUAUUUUAAUUCCAAGUUGGUUAUCUUGAGAUAUGGUCAUUUUAGUGAAAGUAGCAUAGGCUAUCAGAAUUAGUUACUUGAGUUAUUUCUUGUUUAACUUAGUUGUUUUGGUAUAAGUGGUCUCAAAUGGGUUGAUUAAUUGCUAACAUGUUGAAAUGAUCUUGAAUAGGCCAUUAAUUAUUUUGGGAAAAAAACUAGGUGGUGGAAUCGAAAGGACAUAAGUAGAAUCUCACACACUUUACUUAUUUUUGAACUUAUGUAUAUAUGUAUGUUUCUAAAUGAGUAAAUGUUUUUAUUUAUUAUUUUCAAUAUUUGAAAAUAGGAUUAAACAUAUGAUUAUUUUAUGUUUUUGCUGUGUAAGUGAUGGAUCAUGCUUAUGAAUGAAAUGAAAAAAUGAUUUAUGUUUAAAGAACAAUUUUAUGAUAGCUAUAUUUUUACAUCCCUGAGAAGUGAGAUCAUCGACAUCAGAACUAGUUCUACGGCCCUGACUAAUGGAUUAUAGUAGUUAGCAUAGACAUGACCAUACGGCCCUACUAACGGGUUAUAGUAGUUAGCGUAAGGCUUUAGCUAGCGGGUUAUAAUAAUAAGCAAUGAUCAUGUGGAUGAAAUUGUCGAUACGAUCAAUGUCACGGGUUAUAGUAGUGACCAUAGCUAACAAUAAAUGAAUGAUAAUGAUGAUUUAUGAUGAUGAUGAUUUACAAUGAUUUUUAAUGAUUGAUCCAUGAUUUAGUUUGAUUACGAUAUUUGAAUGAUAGCAUAUUUUAUAAUGAUUUAUGAAGUAACAUGUUUUGAUAUUAAUUUAUGAUUUACGAAAUGUUUGACAUAAUGAUGAUUUUGGAAAUAUUUUGACAUUAUGAUUUGACGAAUGUUUUGAAUGAUCUAUAUGAUAUGUAUAAAAAAAAUGCUUGAUCCGGUAAAGUGUAUAAGCUUAUACUUACUGAGCUGUGGUUUGCUCAUUCUCGUUUUACUUUUUUCUUUACAGAUGAGUAAAUGAUAAGUUUGCUUAGUUUUGUGAAAACUAGAAGAUUAAAUGGGAAAAAUUACUUAGUUGUCGGAGACAAUAUUUGUUAAUAAGAUCUUAUGAAACAAUUUUGUAUUUUAAUAUAGAUUGUAUUUGGAUAUAUAGAGAUAUAUCAUUAGUUAUAUUAAAGAUAUGGAUUUUGCUUGACAGAUUAUAGUAGUUUAUUGACAAAUUUUAGAAUGAUUAAGAAAGAAGGCUUCGUAUUACUUUAAGGUUUACUUCAAGGUAAUAUAACCGUGUUACGUCUUGGUCUUGGGGUGUGACAAUCUAGAUCAAUCUCAAAGCUGUCAACUUCAAUUUCGAGCCUCCUAAUGUUCAAUUGGAUGUCACCCAUUCGAGGUAUGGCAUAAUCGCCAAGGAUUCUCAGUUUCCAAGGAUAUGCCAUACGAUUUUGAAUUAAGAAAAUAGAAAAUUAAAAAUAAAAAUAAAAAGGUUGGAAUUACAAUCAGGCAUUUUUACUAUCGAUGUUAGCAUUAAAUUGCACCAAUUCCUAACAACGGUGCCAAAAAACUUAAUUGCUACCAUAAGAGCACGAAUUGUAACAAGCAAUAUAAGAUGAGUAAAGUAUCGUCCCAUAAGAAUUGUAAAAGAGUUAAUACUAAGUACCGAAAUUGUAAUACCUCAAUUAUAUUUAGACAAAUCAAAACUAAUAUGCAAGAACUAAAUUGAACUACUUAACUAAUCAAAACAGAAAAUUUACUUGUGUAAAAAUCUAAUUAAACAAGCAAACAACCUAAAUUGAAAUUUAAAUAUGCAAAAACAAAGAAUUAAACUUAUAUAGCAACUUAAGUAAAUCAAAACUGUAAAUAAAAUUAAAACUUAAACAUGUAAUAACAAUUAAACAUGUAACAAGAAAAUUGAAUCUAAAUCACAACCUAAACAACAAUUCAACAUGCUAGAAUUUAAAUUGAAAAUUGAAACUUAAUGAAUAAACUAAACAGCAACCUAAAAAACUUAAUUAAAUAUAAAAAGACUAAUAUCAAAUUAAAACUGAAUUAAACAAAUUAAAUUAACAUGAACUGAAACUUAUACUGCAUUAAACGAACUUAUUAAACUUCAAGAAUAGUAAAUUAACCAUAAUCUAUCAUACAUGAAACAUAAACAAAACAAAUAAACUUAAAUAACACUUAACAAAAUUUAACUUAAGCAAAUUAAACUUAAAAGCAUGCAAAAACAUUAACCUUUGUCUAACAACUUAAAAUCAUAGGUUGUGCAACAAAAUUUAACUUGAGAAACUUAAAUCAAAUUAGAGCAGAACUAAAUUAAUAUUAAAUUGCAAGAACUAAACUUGAAUUAAAGUAAAUAGCAAGAAUAGAAAAUUAAAUAUCUUGAACUUAAAUAAAAUGAAAACAGAAUUUAGAGUGCUUGAAAAGCUUAAAUUAAACUUGCAAAAAUUUAAAGUAACUUGAAAAAAUUGAAUUAAAUUGAAAACUUAAGGAAAACAAAGUAAGAAAGCAUAAAAGAACAAUGAUUGGUAACUAAAAAGAGCUUAAAAGAACAAGAAAACAAUAAAAGAGAACCAUACAAAGCUAUAGGAUAGACCAUUAUCUCAACUAUGCUUUUUCCUA
This 7830-nucleotide long non-coding RNA is filed under the name Durio zibethinus. Its description in RNAcentral is "long non-coding RNA (DZIB_LNC001116)". Lineage: Eukaryota; Viridiplantae; Streptophyta; Magnoliopsida; Malvales; Malvaceae. The record is from RNAcentral.